RNAcentral lists this microRNA precursor (102 nucleotides) under Pelobates cultripes (western spadefoot toad). Lineage: Eukaryota; Metazoa; Chordata; Amphibia; Anura; Pelobatidae. The record is from RNAcentral.
UGUGUUUGCAUAGUGUGUGUAUAAUGCAGUGUGUUUGUGUAGUGUGUUUAUAUAAUGCACACUACACAAACACACUGCAUUAUAUACACACUAUACAAACUC